Molecule: long non-coding RNA, 513 nt
Filed under: Brachypodium distachyon (stiff brome)
Lineage: Eukaryota; Viridiplantae; Streptophyta; Magnoliopsida; Poales; Poaceae
Description: long non-coding RNA (BDIS_LNC004846)
Source: RNAcentral
GGUCCGUCGGUCUGUGCCUUUGCGGGCGGCCGGCAAAAAUGCCGCCGGCAAAGGGUGGACACGUGGCACGAUCUGGUGCGUGCCCGCGCUCAGCCUUUGGGUUUUUAUUUUUGAUUUUUUUUAUCACAGCAAUUAGAAAUAUUUUGACAGCACAUAUAUACAGAUAUAUUCAGACACAUCACAGCAAAUACAUUCACACAAAAUCAUAGACGCAUCCACAUAUAGCAUUCACAUCUCAUGAAAGUCCGAAAACAUAACAUAUCUCAGAACAAAAGUAUUACAAGUGUUCAUUACAUGGUAGCAACAUAUUACAAGCUAGUGUUCAUACAUGAAAAGAAAGUGACUCGGUCACCUUCAACAUCCACCACCCAUUGCACCAGUAGAAACCUAUGAAAUAGAGUUGGAAUAGCAUAAUUAGAUAUAAAUAAAGGCAUUGAAGCGACAAUUGUAGUAUUUGAAGCGGAACUUAGCCAUUUGACUCAAAAAUGGUGCAAUGGUCACAUAAAUGAGCCA